This 484-nucleotide ribosomal RNA is filed under the name uncultured bacterium. RNAcentral's name for it is "bacterial SSU rRNA". It matches the Rfam family "Bacterial small subunit ribosomal RNA", at positions 30 to 507 of the family's 1533-position model. The record is from RNAcentral.
AUUGAACGCUGGCGGCAUGCCUUACACAUGCAAGUCGAACGGCAGCACGGGAGCAAUCCUGGUGGCGAGUGGCGAACGGGUGAGUAAUAUAUCGGAACGUGCCCAGUCGUGGGGGAUAACGUAGCGAAAGCUACGCUAAUACCGCAUACGAUCUAUGGAUGAAAGCGGGGGAUCGCAAGACCUCGCGCGAUUGGAGCGGCCGAUAUCAGAUUAGGUAGUUGGUGGGGUAAAGGCUCACCAAGCCGACGAUCUGUAGCUGGUCUGAGAGGACGACCAGCCACACUGGAACUGAGACACGGUCCAGACUCCUACGGGAGGCAGCAGUGGGGAAUUUUGGACAAUGGGCGCAAGCCUGAUCCAGCAAUGCCGCGUGCAGGAUGAAGGCCUUCGGGUUGUAAACUGCUUUUGUACGGAACGAAACGGCGAGCUCUAAUACAGUUUGCUAAUGACGGUACCGUAAGAAUAAGCACCGGCUAACUACGUG